CGAAGGGGCGUAGCGUUGUUCGGAGUUUACUUGGGCGUAAAGACGCACGUAGGCGGAUUGUUAAGUGAGAGGUGAAAUCCCAGAGCUCAACUCUGGAACUGCCUUUCAUACUGGCAAUCUAGAGUCCGGAAGAGGUAAGUGGAACUCCUAGUGUAGAGGUGGAAUUCGUAGAUAUUAGGAAGAACACCAGUGGCGAAGGCGGCUUACUGGUCCGGUACUGACGCUGAGGUGCGAAAAGCGUGGGGAGCAAACAGGAUU
This 258-nucleotide ribosomal RNA is filed under the name uncultured bacterium. RNAcentral's name for it is "partial 16S ribosomal RNA". It matches the Rfam family "Bacterial small subunit ribosomal RNA", at positions 526 to 779 of the family's 1533-position model. The record is from RNAcentral.